Molecule: ribosomal RNA, 572 nt
Filed under: fungal sp. FSU 10087
Lineage: Eukaryota; Fungi
Description: eukaryotic LSU rRNA
Rfam family: Eukaryotic large subunit ribosomal RNA
Source: RNAcentral
CCAACAGGGAUUGCCUCAGUAACGGCGAGCGAAGCGGCAAAAGCUCAAAUUUGAAAUCUAGCGCCUACCAGCGUUCGAGUUGUAAUUUGAAGAAGGUAACUUUGGUAAUGGCCCUUGCAUAUGUUCCUUGGAAUAGGACGUCAUAGAGGGUGAGAACCCCGUUUAUGGUGAGGUGCUCCAUUGCUAUGUAAAGUGCUUUCUAAGAGUCGAGUUGUUUGGGAAUGCAGCUCUAAGUGGGUGGUAAAUUCCAUCUAAGGCUAAAUAUAGGCGAGAGACCGAUAGCGAACAAGUACAGUGAUGGAAAGAUGAAAAGAACUUUGAAAAGAGAGUGAAAAAGUACGUGAAAUUGCUGAAAGGGAAGGGCUUGACAUCAGACUCGGCUUGUAAUGAUCAACUGUCUCUUGGGACUGUGCACUCGUUGCUUGCUGGGCCAACAUCAGUUUUGGUGGUAGGAUAAUAACAGUGGAAUGUGACUUUGCUUCGGUGAAGUGUUAUAGCCUCUGUUGAUACUACCAACCGGGACUGAGGACCGCGCAUUUAUGCUAGGAUGUUGGCGUAAUGAUGUUAAGCCA